UGGAGCUGGUAAUAACAUACUACUUUGUGCCUAAAUGCUCACGAGUGGAACACUCGUUUUGAGUUUAGGAACACCACAGGUAGCACCGCCGCUCCU
This 96-nucleotide non-coding RNA is filed under the name unclassified sequences. RNAcentral's name for it is "DUF3800-V RNA". It matches the Rfam family "DUF3800-V RNA". The record is from Rfam by way of RNAcentral.